RNAcentral lists this ribosomal RNA (558 nucleotides) under Microbacterium sp. Its description in RNAcentral is "bacterial SSU rRNA". It matches the Rfam family "Bacterial small subunit ribosomal RNA", at positions 502 to 1059 of the family's 1533-position model. The record is from RNAcentral. Lineage: Bacteria; Bacillati; Actinomycetota; Actinomycetes; Micrococcales; Microbacteriaceae.
UACGUGCCAGCAGCCGCGGUAAUACGUAGGGUGCAAGCGUUAUCCGGAAUUAUUGGGCGUAAAGAGCUAGUAGGCGGUCUGUCGCGUCUGCUGUGAAAUCCCGAGGCUCAACCUCGGGCUUGCAGUGGGUACGGGCAGACUAGAGUGCGGUAGGGGAGAUUGGAAUUCCUGGUGUAGCGGUGGAAUGCGCAGAUAUCAGGAGGAACACCGAUGGCGAAGGCAGAUCUCUGGGCCGUAACUGACGUGAGGAGCGAAAGGGUGGGGAGCAAACAGGCUUAGAUACCCUGGUAGUCCACCCCGUAAACGUUGGGAACUAGUUGUGGGGUCCUUUCCACGGAUUCCGUGACGCAGCUAACGCAUUAAGUUCCCCGCCUGGGGAGUACGGCCGCAAGGCUAAAACUCAAAGGAAUUGACGGGGACCCGCACAAGCGGCGGAGCAUGCGGAUUAAUUCGAUGCAACGCGAAGAACCUUACCAAGGCUUGACAUACGCGAGAACGCCCUAGAAAUAGGGAACUCUUUGGACACUCGUGAACAUGGUGGUGCAUGGUGUCGUCAGC